RNAcentral lists this long non-coding RNA (1573 nucleotides) under Scleropages formosus (Asian bonytongue). RNAcentral describes it as "lncRNA (ENSSFOG00015031313.1)". Lineage: Eukaryota; Metazoa; Chordata; Actinopteri; Osteoglossiformes; Osteoglossidae. The record is from RNAcentral.
GUAAUAAACUAAUACUGCAGUUGAAUACACACACUUUCGGAACUGCUUGUCCCAUAGGGGGUCACAGGGAACCGGAGCCUAACCCAGCAACUCAGAGCGUAAGGCUGGAGGGGGAGGGGACACACCCAGGACAGGACACCAGUCCGUCGCAAGGCACCCCAAGUGGGACUCAAACCCCAGCCCCACAGGAGAGCAGGACCUGGUCCAACCCACUGCGCCACCGCACCCCCGUCUGCAGCUGAACAAACCACAGUAAUUGCAAUUUAAAAACUAUUCAUCAAACUUCACCAGUUGGUUAAGAGAUUAUUUCACUUCUGAAACAUUAUGGAAAUGAAUACACACCAAAGCAGUGAUCACUUCUCUGGACAGCAGCCCUGGUUUUUGACUGAAGCAUUUCGCUACGUUUUGUUUGUGGUGUGGAUCGUUGAUAUUAUAAUGAUAUUUGUGGUCACACAUUUGAUCCACGAAACAAAUGAAAUUUACGAGAAAACCGUGGAAGCUGGAUGGCUCAUAAGAGAUCCAGAAACAGGCUCGCCGAAGACCCCGCGAAGGAAACAACAAUGCUGCUUUUGAAAUGCAAAUUGAAUGCAAAAUAUUUUUUUCUCUCUCUGGUUCUACUAAAAUUAAUACAAGUGUAAAAAAGAAGGACAGAUAUGAAAUGGAACCAGUUUUUGUUUUUGCUUAUAAUUAUUGAUGUAAUAAGGUAUAUAAAACUAUAGUUUCACACUUCCUGUGUUAUUUUCCAUGUCCAUUUGUACAUUUUCGUCACUACUGAUAAAGAAUUAAUUGUAACAUCCAGGGGUUUAAGUGCUACACUUGACCUUGAGUAAUUUACAUAACAUAACAUGUUUUUAAAGUGAGUGCCUCUUGGGACAGUUUAAUCUGCAAUGUCAUACUGAUGCUUUGUGUGAAAAUGUACAAUACAUUGACACGUUUACUUAGACUUGUCCAAAAUUGUUUUCAUCAGUUUACAUGUCCUCCCCAUGUCUGCACGGGUUUCCUCUGGGUGCUCUGGUUUCCUCCCAAAGUCUAAAGACAUGCAGUCCAAGUCAGUUAGUGAUGCUAAAUUGCCCGUAGUCUGUGUAAAUAGGAGAAUCAGUGUGUGUGUGUGUGUGUGUGUGUGUGUGUGUGAGUGGCUACCCCGUAAUAGAGUGGUGUCCCGUCCAGUGUGAACCCCCCAUCCUUGAACCCAAUGCUCCUGGCUGGGAUAGGCUCCAAUUCACCGUGACCCUGGUGAGGACAAAUGAUUACUGAAAACGGAUUGAUUACUAUACACUGGACAUCUUGACUCUUUUGCUAACAAAUCCAAAUCCAACUGUCUGUCAAUUAAAGAAUAUCUUUUUUUAAGCUGUAGAAGUAGUGAGAGGAGCUGGUAUAUUGGUGGUUAGAGUUGCUGCCUUUGGAUCCAAAGGUUGCUGAUUUGAACCUCAGAUACUGCUGUAGGACCCUUGAGCAAAAGGUUUUUACACUGAACCGCUCCAGUAAAAUUACCCAACUGUAUGAAUGGGUAAAUAGUUGUACGUAUCUUAACACUUAAGUUACUUUGAAGAAAGGUGUCAGCUAAGUGAGUAAA